CCGGGAAUCAAACAUGGGUCUUUGCACUUGUGAGGCAGUCGGCGGAACCACUGAGCUAAAUCCCUGGCCCUGGAGAUGUUACAACUUUUUAAUGAGAACUGAAGACCUUAUUUAUAAGUAGCUGUCCCGGCCCGCGGACAGGGUCUUGGAACUUACUAUGUAGCCCAAGCUGGCCUCUCGAACUCACAGCGAUCCUCCUGGCUUAGCCACUGGAGUGCUAGGAUCACAGGCAUGUGCCACUAUGCCUGGCUUGUAACAACAGUAUUACUAUCACAUUUGAGCAACUUCCAAAAAAGAAAUCGUUUUCCACAGUGGCUACACUAAUCUAUACACCCAUCAACAGUGUGCAAGAGUGAUUUUUCCUCUAUUCACCAGCACUUGUUAUCUACAGUCUCUUUGAUAAUAGCCAUUUUACAAAGUAUGAAGUGAUAUCUUAUUAUGGUUUUAAUUUUCAUGUAUCUGAUGAAUUCUGAUAUUGAACAUUUUUUCAUAUACCUGUUGGCUACUUAUAUGUCUUCUUUUCAGAAAUACCUGUAUAAAUCCUUUCUCCAUUGUUUAGUUGGGCUGUUUCUUACUAUUGUGUUGUUUGAAUUCCUUUUGAAUAUUUUGAUAUUAACCCCUUAUCAGAUGUAUAGUUUGCAAAUAUUUUCUGUGAUUCUGUGGGUUGUAUCUGUACCCUAUUGAUUUAAGAAAUAUUUUUCCUUAAUUUUUUUGGAGGGGAGCAUGAACAAGCUUUUAUUUUGAUAUCAUUUCAUUUGUCUAUUUUUGCUUUUGUUGUCUGUGCUCUGGGGUUCAUAGGCAAAAAAAUCAUCGUCUAGAUCAGUGUCAUGCAACUUUUCUCCUUUGUUUUCUUCUAGUAGUUUUACAGUUAAAUUCUUAAUCUAUUUUGAAUUGAUAUUUGUAUAUGGUGUGAGAUAAGAUCUAAUUUUUUUCUCUGCAUAUAGUUAUCCAGUUGCCCCAACACCAUUUAUUGAAGAUAUUGCCCUUUUCAUAUCAUGUGUUCUUAGUUCCUGUGACAAAGAUUGAUUGUAAAUCUGAAGAUUUACUUCUGG
Molecule: long non-coding RNA, 1052 nt
Filed under: Heterocephalus glaber (naked mole-rat)
Lineage: Eukaryota; Metazoa; Chordata; Mammalia; Rodentia; Bathyergidae
Description: lncRNA (ENSHGLG00100033434.1)
Source: RNAcentral